AUGAAUUGCGAUAUUCGUGAAUCAUCGAAUCUUUGAACGCACAUUGCGACCCUCUGGUAUUCCGGAGGGCAUGCCUGUUUGAGCGUCGUU
Molecule: ribosomal RNA, 90 nt
Filed under: uncultured soil eukaryote
Lineage: Eukaryota
Description: partial 5.8S ribosomal RNA
Rfam family: 5.8S ribosomal RNA
About the family: 5.8S ribosomal RNA (5.8S rRNA) is a component of the large subunit of the eukaryotic ribosome. It is transcribed by RNA polymerase I as part of the 45S precursor that also contains 18S and 28S rRNA. Functionally, it is thought that 5.8S rRNA may be involved in ribosome translocation.
Source: RNAcentral